GUGGGGAAUCUUGCGCAAUGGGCGAAAGCCUGACGCAGCCAUGCCGCGUGAAUGAUGAAGGUCUUAGGAUUGUAAAAUUCUUUCACCGGGGACGAUAAUGACGGUACCCGGAGAAGAAGCUCCGGCUAACUUCGUGCCAGCAGCCGCGGUAAUACGAAGGGGGCUAUCGUUGCUCGGAAUUACUGGGCGUAACGGGCGCGUAGGCGGACAGCUUAGUCAGAGGUUAAAGCCCAGGGCUCAACCUUGGAAUUGCCUUUGAUACUGGCUGUCUUGAGUUUGGGAGAGGUGAGUGGAACGCCGAGUGUAGAGGUGAAAUUCGUAGAUAUUCGGAAGAACACCAGUGGCGAAGGCGACUCACUGGCCCAAUACUGACGCUGAGGCGCGAAAGCGUGGGGAGCAAACAGGAUUAGAAACCCCGGUAGUCC
This 425-nucleotide ribosomal RNA is filed under the name uncultured bacterium. RNAcentral's name for it is "partial 16S ribosomal RNA". It matches the Rfam family "Bacterial small subunit ribosomal RNA", at positions 354 to 796 of the family's 1533-position model. The record is from RNAcentral.